UGGGGAAUAUUGGACAAUGGGCGAAAGCCUGAUCCAGCAAUGCCGCGUGUGUGAAGAAGGCCUGCGGGUUGUAAAGCACUUUCAGGGGGGAAAAAGGAGACGGUGUUAAUAGCGCCGCGCUUUUGAUACUACCCCCAGAAGAAGCACCGGCUAACUCUGUGCCAGCAGCCGCGGUAAUACAGAGGGUGCGAGCGUUAAUCGGAAUAACUGGGCGUAAAGGGUGCGUAGGCGGAACAUUAAGUCAGAUGUGAAAUCCCCGGGCUUAACCUGGGAACUGCAUUUGAAACUGAUGUUCUAGAGUAGAGGAGAGGAGAGUGGAAUUUCAGGUGUAGCGGUGAAAUGCGUAGAUAUCUGAAGGAACACCAGUGGCGAAGGCGGCUCUCUGGCCUCAUACUGACGC
This 400-nucleotide ribosomal RNA is filed under the name uncultured bacterium. RNAcentral's name for it is "bacterial SSU rRNA". It matches the Rfam family "Bacterial small subunit ribosomal RNA", at positions 355 to 746 of the family's 1533-position model. The record is from RNAcentral.